Molecule: non-coding RNA, 46 nt
Organism: Schistosoma rodhaini
Lineage: Eukaryota; Metazoa; Platyhelminthes; Trematoda; Strigeidida; Schistosomatidae
Source: Rfam
GCACUGCUGAGGAGUCCCACAACAGGACGAAACGGCCGUCCAGUGU